Molecule: long non-coding RNA, 437 nt
Organism: Brachypodium distachyon (stiff brome)
Lineage: Eukaryota; Viridiplantae; Streptophyta; Magnoliopsida; Poales; Poaceae
Exons: 2
Source: RefSeq, a predicted model, not a curated record
UCCAUUUCUGGGAUGCGAACUUUGUAAGUAACUAGCCGAAAGGGAGGAGACGAGAGAAGGGAAAGGCCAGAGGAGAAACCGAGUUUUUUUUUGGGAGAGGAUCAGAGGAAGAGGAGAAACAGAGUUUGCGCCAAGGUGAUUUGGCAAAUGGUCCUGCGAUACCUUCGCUCAUGGAAGCUUCUCUGUUCAAACACAAGUCAGGACGCUCUAGCACAUAUUCUUUGGUUGGAGGACAAGUCGGUGGAGAUCACAAGACUUCGCUCGAGAUGAAGAAGAGAAGGGCGAUCUCGAUGCUGACUCUCAACGCCUGCCAGGGCAUCAUGUCGAUGUCCCUUCAAGACUGCUCUCCAUGAAGAAACGAGAUAUGACGUUGAUUUUCUGCCAUUUUGUCCAGCUUUCAUGAUGUCUUGUAAUCGGGCUAGUUAGAGGCGCUGGAA